GACGAACGCUGGCGGCGUGCCUAAUACAUGCAAGUAGAACGCUGAAGAGAGGAGCUUGCUCUUCUUGGAUGAGUUGCGAACGGGUGAGUAACGCGUAGGUAACCUGCCUUGUAGCGGGGGAUAACUAUUGGAAACGAUAGCUAAUACCGCAUAACAAUAGGUGACACAUGUCAUUUAUUUGAAAGGGGCAAUUGCUCCACUACAAGAUGGACCUGCGUUGUAUUAGCUAGUAGGUGAGGUAACGGCUCACCUAGGCGACGAUACAUAGCCGACCUGAGAGGGUGAUCGGCCACACUGGGACUGAGACACGGCCCAGACUCCUACGGGAGGCGGCAGUAGGGAAUCUUCGGCAAUGGGGGCAACCCUGACCGAGCAACGCCGCGUGAGUGAAGAAGGUUUUCGGAUCGUAAAGCUCUGUUGUAAGUCAAGAACGAGUGUGAGAGUGGAAAGUUCACACUGUGACGGUAGCUUACCAGAAAGGGACGGCUAACUACGUG
Molecule: ribosomal RNA, 497 nt
Filed under: uncultured bacterium
Lineage: Bacteria
Description: partial 16S ribosomal RNA
Rfam family: Bacterial small subunit ribosomal RNA
Source: RNAcentral